This 254-nucleotide ribosomal RNA is filed under the name uncultured bacterium. RNAcentral's name for it is "partial 16S ribosomal RNA". It matches the Rfam family "Bacterial small subunit ribosomal RNA", at positions 524 to 777 of the family's 1533-position model. The record is from RNAcentral.
UACGAAGGGGGCUAGCGUUGCUCGGAAUCACUGGGCGUAAAGCGCACGUAGGCGGAUUUGUAAGUCAGGGGUGAAAUCCCGAGGCUCAACCUCGGAACUGCCUUUGAUACUGCAAAUCUCGAGUCCGGAAGAGGUGAGUGGAAUUCCUAGUGUAGAGGUGAAAUUCGUAGAUAUUAGGAAGAACACCAGUGGCGAAGGCGGCUCACUGGUCCGGUACUGACGCUGAGGUGCGAAAGCGUGGGGAGCGAACGAGG